RNAcentral lists this ribosomal RNA (776 nucleotides) under uncultured Neocallimastigales. RNAcentral's name for it is "partial large subunit ribosomal RNA". It matches the Rfam family "Eukaryotic large subunit ribosomal RNA", at positions 26 to 640 of the family's 3401-position model. Lineage: Eukaryota; Fungi; Neocallimastigomycota; Neocallimastigomycetes; Neocallimastigales. The record is from RNAcentral.
CGCAUCUGUGCAUGCAGCAUAUCAAUAAGCGGAGGAAAAGAAACUAACAAGGAUUCCCCUUAGUAACGGCGAGUGAAGCGGGAAGAGCUCAAAUUUGAAAUCUUCAAGGGUUUACCUUUACGAAUUGUAGUUUAAAGAAGUGUUUUCUGUUGAGGUUUUGGUAAAAGUUCUUUGGAAUAGGACAUCAUAGAGGGUGAGAAUCCCGUAUUUGACCUUUACUUUCAACUUUGUGAUACACUUUCAAAGAGUCGGAUUGUUUGGGAAUGCAGUCCAAAAUGGGUGGUAAAUUUCAUCUAAAGCUAAAUAUUGGCGAGAGACCGAUAGCGAACAAGUACCGUGAGGGAAAGAUGAAAAGAACUCUUGAAAAGAGAGUUAAACAGUACGUGAAAUUGUCAAAGGGAAGCGUUUGACACCAGUGUUGUUUUUCUGAAAAUCAAUUAAAGAACUGUUUAUGCUAAGCUGUUUAGACUUUAUCAGCUAAUCUGUUUAGUUUUGAGCUUUUCUUUAAUGCACUUUUCAGUUAACAAGUCAACAUCAAUUUCUUUUGCUGUAAAAAAGCUUGAGGAAGGUGGCUUGAGAUUCGUCUUAAGUGUUUAUAGCCUCUUGCCUAUGCAGUCGGAGAGAUUGAGGUCUGCAGCGUAGAUCCUUCGGGGCUAAAUGCAUUUGUGCUAAGUUAUAGCAUUCUAUAGACAACUUGUUGACUAUGAUUUGUCUUGUAGCUUACUCGCUUAUGUUAUUUUACCUACGCUUAGGAUGUUGAUAUGCAUGACUGAUAU